GACGAACGCUGGCGGCGUGCCUAAUACAUGCAAGUUGAGCGAUGAAGCUUGGUGCUUGCCCCAAUUUGAAGAGCAGCGAACGGGUGAGUAACGCGUGGGGAAUCUGCCUUUGAGCGGGGGACAACAUUUGGAAACGAAUGCUAAUACCGCAUAACAACUUUAAACAUAAGUUUUAAGUUUGAAAGAUGCAAUUGCAUCACUACAAGAUGAUCCCGCGUUGUAUUAGCUAGUUGGUGAGGUAAAGGCUCACCAAGGCGAUGAUACAUAGCCGACCUGAGAGGGUGAUCGGCCACAUUGGGACUGAGACACGGCCCAAACUCCUACGGGAGGCAGCAGUAGGGAAUCUUCGGCAAUGGACGAAAGUCUGACCGAGCAACGCCGCGUGAGUGAAGAAGGUUGUCGGAUCGUAAAACUCUGUUGGUAGAGAAGAACGUUGGUGAGAGUGGAAAGCUCAUCAAGUGACGGUAACUACCCAGAAAGGGACGGCUAACUACGUG
This 497-nucleotide ribosomal RNA is filed under the name uncultured bacterium. Its description in RNAcentral is "partial 16S ribosomal RNA". It matches the Rfam family "Bacterial small subunit ribosomal RNA", at positions 28 to 507 of the family's 1533-position model. The record is from RNAcentral.